RNAcentral lists this transfer RNA (71 nucleotides) under Daphnia pulex (common water flea). It matches the Rfam family "tRNA". From Rfam's summary of the family: Transfer RNA (tRNA) molecules are approximately 80 nucleotides in length. The record is from Rfam by way of RNAcentral. Lineage: Eukaryota; Metazoa; Arthropoda; Branchiopoda; Diplostraca; Daphniidae.
GACGAAAUAGCUCAGUUGGGAGAGUUAGACUGAAGAUCUAAAGGUCACUAGUUCGAUCCAAGGUUUCGGCA